GUAUCCUGGCUCAGGACGAACGCUGGCGGCGUGCUUAACACAUGCAAGUCGAACGAAGAGCGAUGGAAGCUUGCUUCUAUCAAUCUUAGUGGCGAACGGGUGAGUAACGCGUAAUCAACCUGCCCUUCAGAAGGGGGGACGAACAGUUGGAAACGACUGCUAAUACCGCAUACGAUCUAACCUCGGCAUCGAGGAUAGAUGAAAAGGUGGCCUCUAUUUAUAAGCUAUCACUGAAGGAGGGGA
Molecule: ribosomal RNA, 243 nt
Filed under: uncultured bacterium
Lineage: Bacteria
Description: partial 16S ribosomal RNA
Rfam family: Bacterial small subunit ribosomal RNA
Source: RNAcentral